AAACUUCUCUUACCCGAUGUAUUGCUUCUAUUUCACAGCCUUUUCGAGAGUUACAUCUUUUUUUUUUAAUUAUUUUUAUUUUAUAUGUACAAUUGUCUUGCCUAAAUGUAUGUCUGUACACUGCACGCAUGCCUGAGAUCAUGGAGGCAAGAAGUGGGCAUCGAAUCCCCUGGAGCUGAAAUUACAGGUAGUUGUGCAGCAUCAUGUGGUACUAGGAAAUGGACCCAAGUUGUGUGGAAGAUCGGUCACUGAGCUCAAGUGCUGAACCAUCUCUCCAGCCAUGAUAGUCACAUGUUUUAACACUGGGAAAUAACUUUUAUUCUUGAUUAUGGAUCUUGACCUUGAAUUCUAACUGUUUGGGCUUAAUAUUGCCUCUUGGAGUUUUUAUCUUUCAUCUUAUAUUUCACGGUAGUAGAAUAUAUUAGCAUAUCCUUUCUGUAAUUGCCAAGUUCUCCUGUAGGGUUGACCUGACCAGCCUGAUGAGGGAAUGUAACUCAUGCAGAGAGACUGGGUUUGGGUGGAUGUCGCUUGCUCAGGCAGAGGGUACCAGGAAAGUAGG
Molecule: long non-coding RNA, 559 nt
Filed under: Mus musculus (house mouse)
Lineage: Eukaryota; Metazoa; Chordata; Mammalia; Rodentia; Muridae
Description: long non-coding RNA chr3:37982791-37983350
Source: RNAcentral